RNAcentral lists this ribosomal RNA (651 nucleotides) under Brevundimonas vesicularis. RNAcentral describes it as "bacterial SSU rRNA". It matches the Rfam family "Bacterial small subunit ribosomal RNA", at positions 164 to 849 of the family's 1533-position model. The record is from RNAcentral. Lineage: Bacteria; Pseudomonadati; Pseudomonadota; Alphaproteobacteria; Caulobacterales; Caulobacteraceae.
UAAUACCGAAUGUGCCCUUUCGGGGGAAAGAUUUAUCGCCUUUAGAGCGGCCCGCGUCUGAUUAGCUAGUUGGUGAGGUAAAGGCUCACCAAGGCGACGAUCAGUAGCUGGUCUGAGAGGAUGAUCAGCCACAUUGGGACUGAGACACGGCCCAAACUCCUACGGGAGGCAGCAGUGGGGAAUCUUGCGCAAUGGGCGAAAGCCUGACGCAGCCAUGCCGCGUGAAUGAUGAAGGUCUUAGGAUUGUAAAAUUCUUUCACCGGGGACGAUAAUGACGGUACCCGGAGAAGAAGCCCCGGCUAACUUCGUGCCAGCAGCCGCGGUAAUACGAAGGGGGCUAGCGUUGCUCGGAAUUACUGGGCGUAAAGGGAGCGUAGGCGGACAUUUAAGUCAGGGGUGAAAUCCCGGGGCUCAACCUCGGAAUUGCCUUUGAUACUGGGUGUCUUGAGUAUGAGAGAGGUGUGUGGAACUCCGAGUGUAGAGGUGAAAUUCGUAGAUAUUCGGAAGAACACCAGUGGCGAAGGCGACACACUGGCUCAUUACUGACGAUGAGGCUCGAAAGCGUGGGGAGCAAACAGGAUUAGAUACCCUGGUAGUCCACGCCGUAAACGAUGAUUGCUAGUUGUCGGGAUGCAUGCAUUUCGGUGACGC